RNAcentral lists this ribosomal RNA (451 nucleotides) under uncultured bacterium. Its description in RNAcentral is "partial 16S ribosomal RNA". It matches the Rfam family "Bacterial small subunit ribosomal RNA", at positions 354 to 796 of the family's 1533-position model. The record is from RNAcentral.
GUGGGGAAUAUUGCGCAAUGGGGGAAACCCUGACGCAGCGACGCCGCGUGAGCGAAGAAGGCCUUAGGGUUGUAAAGCUCUGUUUUAAGGGACGAAUGUCGUGGGGAGUAAUAUGCUCUGCGAAUGACGGUACCUUAAGAGGAAGCCCCGGCUAACUACGUGCCAGCAGCCGCGGUAAGACGUAGGGGGCGAGCGUUGUCCGGAAUUACUGGGCGUAAAGAGCACGUAGGCGGGAACUUAAGUCAGGUGUGAAAGACCGGGGCUCAACUCCGUGGUUGCACUUGAAACUGGGUUUCUUGAGGGCAGGAGAGGAAAGCAGAAUUCCUGGUGUAGCGGUGAAAUGCGUAGAAAUCAGGAGGAAUACCAGUGGCGAAGGCGGCUUUCUGGACUGACCCUGACGCUGAGGUGCGAAAGCGUGGGUAGCAAACAGGAUUAGAAACCCUGGUAGUCC